RNAcentral lists this ribosomal RNA (639 nucleotides) under uncultured beta proteobacterium. RNAcentral describes it as "bacterial SSU rRNA". It matches the Rfam family "Bacterial small subunit ribosomal RNA", at positions 85 to 720 of the family's 1533-position model. Lineage: Bacteria; Pseudomonadati; Pseudomonadota; Betaproteobacteria. The record is from RNAcentral.
AAGCUGACGAGUGGCGAACGGGUGAGUAAUGUAUCGGAACGUGCCCAGUCGUGGGGGAUAACUGCUCGAAAGAGCAGCUAAUACCGCAUACGACCUGAGGGUGAAAGCGGGGGAUCGCAAGACCUCGCGCGAUUGGAGCGGCCGAUAUCAGAUUAGGUAGUUGGUGGGGUAAAGGCUCACCAAGCCAACGAUCUGUAGCUGGUCUGAGAGGACGACCAGCCACACUGGGACUGAGACACGGCCCAGACUCCUACGGGAGGCAGCAGUGGGGAAUUUUGGACAAUGGGCGCAAGCCUGAUCCAGCCAUGCCGCGUGCGGGAAGAAGGCCUUCGAGUUGUAAACCGCUUUUGUCAGGGAAGAAAAGGUUCUGGCUAAUACCUGGGACUCAUGACGGUACCUGAAGAAUAAGCACCGGCUAACUACGUGCCAGCAGCCGCGGUAAUACGUAGGGUGCAAGCGUUAAUCGGAAUUACUGGGCGUAAAGCGUGCGCAGGCGGUUAUGCAAGACAGAGGUGAAAUCCCCGGGCUCAACCUGGGAACUGCCUUUGUGACUGCAUAGCUAGAGUGCGGCAGAGGGGGAUGGAAUUCCGCGUGUAGCAGUGAAAUGCGUAGAUAUGCGGAGGAACACCGAUGGCGAAG